This 80-nucleotide transfer RNA is filed under the name Ganoderma leucocontextum. RNAcentral describes it as "tRNA-Val". Lineage: Eukaryota; Fungi; Basidiomycota; Agaricomycetes; Polyporales; Polyporaceae. The record is from RNAcentral.
GGGUCGGUGGCGUAGUUGGUUAUCGCAUCUGUCUAACAUUGGGACACAGAAGGUCCUCAGUUCGAUCCUGGGCCGACUCA